RNAcentral lists this ribosomal RNA (164 nucleotides) under uncultured bacterium. RNAcentral describes it as "partial 16S rRNA". It matches the Rfam family "Bacterial small subunit ribosomal RNA", at positions 355 to 511 of the family's 1533-position model. The record is from RNAcentral.
UAGGGAAUCUUCCACAAUGGACGAAAGUCUGAUGGAGCAACGCCGCGUGAGUGAAGAAGGUUUUCGGAUCGUAAAGCUCUGUUGUUGGUGAAGAGGGAUAGAGGCAGUAACUGGUCUUUAUUUGACGGUAAUCAACCAGAAAGUCACGGCUAACUACGUGCCAC